Molecule: unclassified non-coding RNA, 331 nt
Filed under: soil metagenome
Description: partial contains 5.8S ribosomal RNA, internal transcribed spacer 2, and large subunit ribosomal RNA
Rfam family: 5.8S ribosomal RNA (bases 1-120)
Source: RNAcentral
GAUGAAGAACGUAGCGAAAUGCGAUAAGUAAUGUGAAUUGCAGAAUUCGGUGAAUCAUCGAAUCUUUGAACGCACAUUGCGCCCCCUGGUAUUCCGGGGGGCAUGCCUGUUCGAGCGUCAUUUCACCACUCAAGCCUCGCUUGGUAUUGGGCAACGCGGUCCGCCGCGUGCCUCAAAUCGACCGGCUGGGUCUUCUGUCCCCUAAGCGUUGUGGAAACUAUUCGCUAAAGGGUGUUCGGGAGGCUACGCCGUAAAACAACCCCAUUUCUAAGGUUGACCUCGGAUCAGGUAGGGAUACCCGCUGAACUUAAGCAUAUCAAUAAGCGGAGGA